RNAcentral lists this long non-coding RNA (1149 nucleotides) under Taeniopygia guttata (zebra finch). RNAcentral describes it as "lncRNA (ENSTGUG00000026195.1)". The record is from RNAcentral. Lineage: Eukaryota; Metazoa; Chordata; Aves; Passeriformes; Estrildidae.
AUGGGCCGGUUCCUGUCCUUGAGCAGGGUCUGGCUGUCCCAAAAUCCCAGCUCUGGCUAUCCCAAAAUCCCAGCUCUGGCUAUCCCAAUAUCCCAGUUCUGGCUAUCCCAGUAUCCCAGCUCUGGCUAUCCCAAUGUCCCAGCUCUGGCUAUCCCAAUAUCCCAGCUCUGGCUAUCCCAGUAUCCCAGCUCUGGCUAUCCCAAUAUCCCAGCUCUGGCUAUCCCAAUAUCCCAGCUCUGGCUGUCCCAAUAUCCCAGCUCAGCUCCCGCCCCCAUCCCCGGUGUCUGUGCCUCCAUCCGGCCCCGCUCGCUGCCGCAGCGCUCGCAGAGGGUCCCGUCCACGUCCCCCACAAUCAAGGACUGGGGGACCCCCGGGCCGGGCUCUGACAGCACCACUUCCAGGAACUGCAGGGAGUGGAGAACUGGGGGGACACGGAGAUUUGGGGGAGCUGAGGGGGCUGAAAGUGAGAGUUUGGGGAUCCAGGGGGGUCCACAGGCCAAGGAAAAGGGGGACAUGAAGAGAUGGCAGAGCUGGGAAGGAGGUUCAGGGGCUGAGAGCCAAGGAAAGGGGGUGCAGGGACUGGGAGAGCUGGGAUGGGGUGUCCAGGGAAUCCUGUGCCCAGGAAAGGGGGUGCCAGGGCUCCUGAACAUGAGGAAAGGAGGAGCUGGGAGCUGGGAAAGGCAGGAAUGGGGGCCCAGGGGUCCCAGGUCAGGGAAAAGGGUGGGACUGGGGGUUGGGAGAGGUGUGGGAUGGGAACAGGUUGUGUUGGUGCCGGAUAAGGGGGUGCAGGGGGGUCUCAGUGCCGGGCAAAGGGGUAAAAGGGUGUCUUGGUUCUCAGGAAUGGGGGUGCAGGGGGGUCUCAGGGUCACGGAAAUGGGGGGGCAGGGAUGGAGAGGUAGAAGGGAGUUCCAGGGGUCCUUGAGCCCAGGAAAGGGGAGUCCAGGGUUUCCCAAAAAGGGGUACCAGGGUGGGGACACCCGGGGUGUUUGGGAAGGGGGAGUUCAGAGGGUCUCUGGCUUUGCACAAAGGUGGGGCUGGGGGCUGGGAAAGGCAGGAAUGGGGGUCCAAGGUGUUCCAAGGCGUUCCAGGAUCAGGCACACGGGAAAUCUAGAGGCUGGGAGCAGGGAAAAGGGGAGCAGAGGGCCCUGA